This 468-nucleotide ribosomal RNA is filed under the name uncultured Pseudomonas sp. Its description in RNAcentral is "bacterial SSU rRNA". It matches the Rfam family "Bacterial small subunit ribosomal RNA", at positions 912 to 1382 of the family's 1533-position model. The record is from RNAcentral. Lineage: Bacteria; Pseudomonadati; Pseudomonadota; Gammaproteobacteria; Pseudomonadales; Pseudomonadaceae.
GACGGGGGCCCGCGACAAGCGGUGGAGCAUGUGGUUAAUUCGAUGAUACGCGAGGAACCUUACCUGGGCUCAAAUGUAUGUUGACGUAUUCUGAAAGGGAUACUUCUUCGGACAAUAUACAAGGUGCUGCAUGGUUGUCGUCAGCUCGUGCCGUGAGGUGUCGGGUUAAGUCCCAUAACGAGCGCAACCCCUAUCAUUAGUUGCCAUCAGGUCAAGCUGGGGACUCUAAGGAGACUGCCGGUGACAAACCGGAGGAAGGUGGGGAUGACGUCAAGUCAUCAUGGCCCUUACGGCCUGGGCUACACACGUGCUACAAUGGUCGGUACAAAGGGUUGCCAAGCCGCGAGGUGGAGCUAAUCCCAUAAAACCGAUCGUAGUCCGGAUCGCAGUCUGCAACUCGACUGCGUGAAGUCGGAAUCGCUAGUAAUCGUGAAUCAGAAUGUCACGGUGAAUACGUUCCCGGGCCUU